Molecule: ribosomal RNA, 301 nt
Filed under: uncultured bacterium
Lineage: Bacteria
Description: partial 16S ribosomal RNA
Rfam family: Bacterial small subunit ribosomal RNA
Source: RNAcentral
CAGUAGCCGCGGGAAAACGUAGGGUGCGAGCGUUAAUCGGAAUUACUGGGCGUAAAGCGUGCGCAGGCGGUUCGUUAAGACAGAUGUGAAAUCCCCGGGCUUAACCUGGGAACUGCAUUUGUGACUGACGGGCUAUAGUAUGGCAGAGGGGGGUAGAAUUCCACGUGUAGCAGUGAAAUGCGUAGAGAUGUGGAGGAAUACCGAUGGCGAAGGCAGCCCCCUGGGCCAAUACUGACGCUCAUGCACGAAAGCGUGGGGAGCAAACAGGAUUAGAUACCCGUGUAGUCCCUGUCUCUUAUAC